Molecule: non-coding RNA, 899 nt
Organism: Peromyscus maniculatus bairdii (prairie deer mouse)
Lineage: Eukaryota; Metazoa; Chordata; Mammalia; Rodentia; Cricetidae
Source: RefSeq, a predicted model, not a curated record
GUCUAGCUUGACACACACUGGAAUUACUUGGGAAGAAGGGGCCUCCGGAGGAAUUGCCUCCAUCAGACUGGCCUGCAAUGGUGUCUCUCUGUUCCUCCCUUGACUCCUGCCCUGGCUGGCUACCAUUCACGAUGGACUGUGACCUAUUGCAGAGGGAGGGUCAGUAGACCCUAGGAGCCAGUGAAACGGAAAGGACCUGGGAAGCUCAAGGAACCGCGGAUGCUCAGCAGGCUCCGAAACACAAGGUUCCCCAGCCCGCUUCGACGGUCCUGAAAGCCGGAAGUACUUGCUGGAGAGAAGAGCCUUGGGUGGCGCUGCCGGCAAGUCAUACAGGGAGCUCCAGAGACAAAGAUGCUUCUCAACGCAUUGCUGAGAAGUGGUACUUGCUAAUCGAUCUGCACUGGGGAACUGAACUUGUUCAAACCCAAGAACUCCUUCAUUGGGAAUAUGAAGUGGUUUACAAGCUGACAGAGCAUCAAGAUGAGCCCUCCUCUGCCCAGGCCAGGGUCCUGACUCUGUAUCUAGGCACCAAGCUGAGUGACAUCAAAGGCGACUGGAUUCCUGGGCUUUGGGAAGUAUGGAGAGAUUGAUGUGAGCAACGGGAAACACAGACACUUGAGGUUCACCAGGACACUUGAUCGUCACCUGCCUUCUCAGGACUAUUCAAAAUGAAGGAAGACACUGAGUGGUCACGUGGAGGACUCUUCACCGUGGUGUGUCAACUCAUCUACCAUUUGCAGGGUGCUUAUUUUCUGAUGAAGAUAAGAAAGAGGCUAAAUAAGAGAUAAAUUGACUGACUUUACGUGUGGUUUGCAGAGCACAUGGUGGUGUCUAAACAGAAGCCUGAAGGAGGAGAAAAGGAAAUAGAAAUGCUCGCUGUUCUUCAAAACUGAAGGGAG